This is a long non-coding RNA of Eucalyptus grandis, 379 nucleotides long. RefSeq lists it as uncharacterized. Lineage: Eukaryota; Viridiplantae; Streptophyta; Magnoliopsida; Myrtales; Myrtaceae. The record is from RefSeq and is a predicted model, not a curated record. The transcript has 3 exons.
UUCGACCAUUCAGAGAUAAAGAAGAGCCCGUGCAAAAGCGCUUCUGCUUCCGCUUGUUCUGCUGAAGAAACCCUAGCCUCCGCUGCAAAUCCAUCGACAACGACGCCCUCUUUAUUUCUGACGAUGCCGGCUACAGAACAUAUGAAUUCGCCUGGUACCCAUGAAGCAUCCACGUUCAAUUUCAACUCUCCAUCUCCGGGUGGUUUCCAUUUCUCUGGUCAAUUACUUCCGCUGAGUUUGGAAGUUUAUCUCGGAAGAUCCGUGCGUUCCGCGCUUUCCAGAUCUGCCAGAGCACCCAUGCGAUGAACUCACGCUCAGGUUCUCUCUGGUGGGAAUGGCAUUUUGACAAAUGCUCCACAGGAAGGUUCGGAUUUUCGGU